This 253-nucleotide ribosomal RNA is filed under the name uncultured bacterium. Its description in RNAcentral is "partial 16S ribosomal RNA". It matches the Rfam family "Bacterial small subunit ribosomal RNA", at positions 524 to 776 of the family's 1533-position model. The record is from RNAcentral.
UACGAAGGGGGCUAGCGUUGUUCGGAAUUACUGGGCGUAAAGGGCGCGUAGGCGGUUUGCCAAGUCAGAUGUGAAAGCCCCGGGCUCAACCUGGGAACCGCAUUUGAGACUGGCCGACUCGAGUUCGGGAGAGGAUAGUGGAAUUCCCAGUGUAGAGGUGAAAUUCGUAGAUAUUGGGAAGAACACCGAUGGCGAAGGCAGCUAUCUGGACCGACACUGACGCUGAGGCGCGAAAGCGUGGGGAGCAAACAGG